CACGUAGGGGGCGAGCGUUGUCCGGAGUUACUGGGCGUAAAGGGCAUGCAGGCGGUCGGACGCGUUUCGGGUGACAGCGGGUGGCUUAACUACCCGAGUGGUCGAAAGACGGUUUGACUUGAGGACGCGAGAGGGACACGGAAUUCCGGGUGGAGUGGUGAAAUGCGUAGAGAUCCGGAGGAACACCGAAGGCGAAGGCAGUGUCCUGGCGCGUAACUGACGCUGAGGUGCGAAAGCCAGGGGAGCGAACGGG
This 253-nucleotide ribosomal RNA is filed under the name uncultured bacterium. Its description in RNAcentral is "partial 16S ribosomal RNA". It matches the Rfam family "Bacterial small subunit ribosomal RNA", at positions 524 to 776 of the family's 1533-position model. The record is from RNAcentral.